UCCGUAGGCGGGCAAUUAAGUCAGAGGUGAAAUCCCACAGCUCAACCGUGGAACUGCCUUUGAUACUGGUUGUCUUGAGUUAUAGUGAAGUAGAUAGAAUAUGUAGUGUAGCGGUGAAAUGCAUAGAUAUUACAUAGAAUACCGAUUGCGAAGGCAGUCUACUAACUGUAUACUGACGCUAAUGGACGAAAGCGUGGGGAGCGAACAGGAUUAGAUACCCUGGUAGUCC
RNAcentral lists this ribosomal RNA (229 nucleotides) under uncultured bacterium. RNAcentral's name for it is "partial 16S ribosomal RNA". It matches the Rfam family "Bacterial small subunit ribosomal RNA", at positions 568 to 796 of the family's 1533-position model. The record is from RNAcentral.